AUACUUACCUGGCAGGGGAGAUACCAUGAUCACGAAGGUGGUUUUCCCAGGGCGAGGCUUAUCCAUUGCACUCGGAUGUGCUGACCCCUGCGAUUUCCCCAAAUGUGGGAAACUCGACUGCAUAAUUUGUGGUAGUGGGGGACUGCGUUCGCGCUCUCCCCUG
Molecule: small nuclear RNA, 163 nt
Organism: Castor canadensis (American beaver)
Lineage: Eukaryota; Metazoa; Chordata; Mammalia; Rodentia; Castoridae
Gene: U1
Rfam family: U1 spliceosomal RNA
About the family: U1 is a small nuclear RNA (snRNA) component of the spliceosome (involved in pre-mRNA splicing). Its 5' end forms complementary base pairs with the 5' splice junction, thus defining the 5' donor site of an intron. There are significant differences in sequence and secondary structure between metazoan and yeast U1 snRNAs, the latter being much longer (568 nucleotides as compared to 164 nucleotides in human).
Source: Ensembl